CGGUUCGGAUGCUGUGAGGCCUCGGUCCGCUCGGUCCACGGUCCUGGCACACCUUCCCCGGUGUCAGGGCAGACGGGCGGGCGGGGACCUGACGGUAUCCGCCCUGGUGA
Molecule: regulatory RNA element, 110 nt
Organism: Actinoalloteichus hoggarensis
Lineage: Bacteria; Bacillati; Actinomycetota; Actinomycetes; Pseudonocardiales; Pseudonocardiaceae
Rfam family: mraW RNA
Source: Rfam